RNAcentral lists this microRNA (22 nucleotides) under Tribolium castaneum (red flour beetle). Its description in RNAcentral is "tca-miR-11634-3p". The record is from miRBase by way of RNAcentral. Lineage: Eukaryota; Metazoa; Arthropoda; Insecta; Coleoptera; Tenebrionidae.
CCGCGCCCCGCACUCGCGAGGU